CGGCCCCUAAUACAUGCCAAGUCGAACGAACUCUGGUAUUGAUUGGUGCUUGCAUCAUGAUUUACAUUUGAGUGAGUGGCGAACUGGUGAGUAACACGUGGGAAACCUGCCCAGAAGCGGGGGAUAACACCUGGAAACAGAUGCUAAUACCGCAUAACAACUUGGACCGCAUGGUCCGAGUUUGAAAGAUGGCUUCGGCUAUCACUUUUGGAUGGUCCCGCGGCGUAUUAGCUAGAUGGUGGGGUAACGGCUCACCAUGGCAAUGAUACGUAGCCGACCUGAGAGGGUAAUCGGCCACAUUGGGACUGAGACACGGCCCAAACUCCUACGGGAGGCAGCAGUAGGGAAUCUUCCACAAUGGACGAAAGUCUGAUGGAGCAACGCCGCGUGAGUGAAGAAGGGUUUCGGCUCGUAAAACUCUGUUGUUAAAGAAGAACAUAUCUGAGAGUAACUGUUCAGGUAUUGACGGUAUUUAACCAGAAAGCCACGGCUAACUACGUGCCAGCAGCCGCGGUAAUACGUAGGUGGCAAGCGUUGUCCGGAUUUAUUGGGCGUAAAGCGAGCGCAGGCGGUUUUUUAAGUCUGAUGUGAAAGCCUUCGGCUCAACCGAAGAAGUGCAUCGGAAACUGGGAAACUUGAGUGCAGAAGAGGACAGUGGAACUCCAUGUGUAGCGGUGAAAUGCGUAGAUAUAUGGAAGAACACCAGUGGCGAAGGCGGCUGUCUGGUCUGUAACUGACGCUGAGGCUCGAAAGUAUGGGUAGCAAACAGGAUUAGAUACCCUGGUAGUCCAUACCGUAAACGAUGAAUGCUAAGUGUUGGAGGGUUUCCGCCCUUCAGUGCUGCAGCUAACGCAUUAAGCAUUCCGCCUGGGGAGUACGGCCGCAAGGCUGAAACUCAAAGGAAUUGACGGGGGCCCGCACAAGCGGUGGAGCAUGUGGUUUAAUUCGAAGCUACGCGAAGAACCUUACCAGGUCUUGACAUACUAUGCAAAUCUAAGAGAUUAGACGUUCCCUUCGGGGACAUGGAUACAGGUGGUGCAUGGUUGUCGUCAGCUCGUGUCGUGAGAUGUUGGGUUAAGUCCCGCAACGAGCGCAACCCUUAUUAUCAGUUGCCAGCAUUAAGUUGGGCACUCUGGUGAGACUGCCGGUGACAAACCGGAGGAAGGUGGGGAUGACGUCAAAUCAUCAUGCCCCUUAUGACCUGGGCUACACACGUGCUACAAUGGAUGGUACAACGAGUUGCGAACUCGCGAGAGUAAGCUAAUCUCUUAAAGCCAUUCUCAGUUCGGAUUGUAGGCUGCAACUCGCCUACAUGAAGUCGGAAUCGCUAGUAAUCGCGGAUCAGCAUGCCGCGGUGAAUACGUUCCCGGGCCUUGUACACACCGCCCGUCACACCAUGAGAGUUUGUAACACCCAAAGUCGGUGGGGUAACCUUUUUAGGAACCAGCCGCCUUAAGG
Molecule: ribosomal RNA, 1458 nt
Filed under: Lactiplantibacillus plantarum
Lineage: Bacteria; Bacillati; Bacillota; Bacilli; Lactobacillales; Lactobacillaceae
Description: bacterial SSU rRNA
Rfam family: Bacterial small subunit ribosomal RNA
Source: RNAcentral